RNAcentral lists this ribosomal RNA (249 nucleotides) under uncultured bacterium. RNAcentral describes it as "partial 16S ribosomal RNA". It matches the Rfam family "Bacterial small subunit ribosomal RNA", at positions 524 to 772 of the family's 1533-position model. The record is from RNAcentral.
UACGUAGGGGGCAAGCGUUAUCCGGAUUUACUGGGUGUAAAGGGAGCGUAGGUGGUAUGGUAAGUCAGGUGUGAAAGCCCGGGGCUCAACUCCGGGAUUGCAUUUGAAACUACCAAACUAGAGUGCAGGAGAGGUAAGUGGAAUUCCUGGUGUAGCGGUGAAAUGCGCAGAUAUCAGGAGGAACACCGGUGGCGAAGGCGGUUGCCUGGAGCUUUGCUGACGCUGAUGCGCGAAAGCGUGGGGAGCGAU